This 253-nucleotide ribosomal RNA is filed under the name uncultured bacterium. RNAcentral's name for it is "partial 16S ribosomal RNA". It matches the Rfam family "Bacterial small subunit ribosomal RNA", at positions 524 to 776 of the family's 1533-position model. The record is from RNAcentral.
UACGAAGGGGGCUAGCGUUGUUCGGAAUUACUGGGCGUAAAGGGCGCGUAGGCUGUGCUGUAAGUCAGGCGUGAAAGGCCCGGGCUCAACCUGGGAAUGGCGCAUGAUACUGCGGCGCUGGAAGGCGGGAGAGGAUGGCGGAAUUCCCAGUGUAGAGGUGAAAUUCGUAGAUAUUGGGAAGAACACCGGUGGCGAGGGCGGCCAUCUGGCCCGUUACUGACGCUCAGGCGCGACAGCGUGGGGAUCAAACAGG